AAUGCCGUGAAGUUAAAAGGGCAAGUGGUGGCAUUACACAUGGAGUUUAAAUAAGACUUUAUUUGCUACUUAGGGAAAGAGGAAGCACCAAGAGAAUGCUUUGUUAGUUUUAUCUUUAGAGAAACCGUCGAGAUAGAGAAUAUAGGAAAACAGAAAGGAAAGCUUGGCAGGGUUGGCCCAGAGCAGUGAGAAACUAGCUAGGAUUACAAGUGUGCAGUUAAGCUGGAGAAGUAGAAGCCUUCACAAGAAGGCAGAAGUGGAGCAGAAAGCAGCCUAGCUGUAGAGGAAGUCAGUUUGAUCACGGGAUUUCCGCCAGAGACACUUCACACUGCAAAAGCAAGCGUGGACGAAGUGAGUGCUGAAGUCUUAAGGACUUAAGUCCUUGGCUCUAGGACGCCUUGGCUCCUUUCGCCCGAGUUUGACAGAGCGACUGAGCUCCC
Long non-coding RNA from Nothoprocta perdicaria, 440 nucleotides. RefSeq lists it as uncharacterized. The record is from RefSeq and is a predicted model, not a curated record. Lineage: Eukaryota; Metazoa; Chordata; Aves; Tinamiformes; Tinamidae. The transcript has 2 exons.